CCGAAUUUAAGCAUAUCAAAAGCCGGAGGAAAAAUUUUUUGAUUAUGCAGGCGGGAGGGGGAUGGGGAGAUCCUGUAUCAUUUAUUUUUUUAUUUUGGAUGUAGCGAAAAUAG
Molecule: ribosomal RNA, 113 nt
Filed under: Oxyopes javanus
Lineage: Eukaryota; Metazoa; Arthropoda; Arachnida; Araneae; Oxyopidae
Description: partial 28S ribosomal RNA
Source: RNAcentral